Molecule: ribosomal RNA, 600 nt
Filed under: uncultured archaeon
Lineage: Archaea
Description: bacterial SSU rRNA
Rfam family: Archaeal small subunit ribosomal RNA
Source: RNAcentral
UCCCUAUGGGGUGCAGCAGGCGAGAAAACUUUGCAAUGUGCGAAAGCACGACAAGGUUAAUCCGAGUGGUUUCUGCUAAAGGAACCUUUUGUCGGUCCUAGAAACACCGAUGAAUAAGGGGUGGGCAAGUUCUGGUGUCAGCCGCCGCGGUAAAACCAGCACCUCAAGUGGUCAGGAUGAUUAUUGGGCCUAAAGCAUCCGUAGCCGGCUCUGUAAGUUUUCGGUUAAAUCUGUACGCUCAACGUACAGGCUGCCGGGAAUACUGCAGAGCUAGGGAGUGGGAGAGGUAGACGGUACUCGGUAGGAAGGGGUAAAAUCCUUUGAUCUAUUGAUGACCACCUGUGGCGAAGGCGGUCUACCAGAACACGUCCGACGGUGAGGGAUGAAAGCUGGGGGAGCAAACCGGAUUAGAUGCCCGGGUAGUCCCAGCUGUAAACUAUGCAAACUCAGUGAUGCAUUGGCUUGUGGCCAAUGCAGUGCUGCAGGGAAGCCGUUAAGUUUGCCGCCUGGGAAGUACGUACGCAAGUAUGAAACUUAAAGGAAUUGGCGGGGAGCACCACAAGGGGUGAAGCCUGCGGUUCAAUUGGAUUCAACGCCGGG